AUUAUAUUCAGUCAACAGACCCUUUUAUACAUGAGUCUGUUGCCUGAAUAUAGUCA
MicroRNA precursor from Monodelphis domestica (gray short-tailed opossum), 56 nucleotides. NCBI's taxonomy places the organism in Eukaryota, Metazoa, Chordata, Mammalia, Didelphimorphia, Didelphidae. The record is from Ensembl.